UACGGGGGGGGCAAGCGUUGUUCGGAAUUACUGGGCGUAAAGGGCUCGUAGGCGGCCGACUAAGUCGGACGUGAAAUCCCCAGGCUCAACCUGGGAACUGCGUCUGAUACUGGAUGGCUCGAGAUUGGGAGAGGGAUGCGGAAUUCCAGGUGUAGCGGUGAAAUGCGUAGAUAUCUGGAGGAACACCGGUGGCGAAGGCGGCAUCCUGGACCAACACUGACGCUGAGGAGCGAAAGCCAGGGGAGCAAACGGG
RNAcentral lists this ribosomal RNA (253 nucleotides) under uncultured bacterium. Its description in RNAcentral is "partial 16S ribosomal RNA". It matches the Rfam family "Bacterial small subunit ribosomal RNA", at positions 524 to 776 of the family's 1533-position model. The record is from RNAcentral.